Quercus lobata is the source of this 2822-nucleotide RNA transcript. It is a transcript of the gene named probable inactive purple acid phosphatase 1, with no coding region annotated. The transcript has 12 exons. The record is from RefSeq and is a predicted model, not a curated record. Lineage: Eukaryota; Viridiplantae; Streptophyta; Magnoliopsida; Fagales; Fagaceae.
AAAAACACUAGCACUAAAAAACCAACCCCAACUUCCCAAAAAGAACAACACUGGAUAAGGCUAAAAACACUAGCACCGUACAACGAACCAACUUUUCAAAAAGAGAAGUGGUAUUUCUGUAAUAUUUUUACAAUAAUUCUUAGUGGCACCAAAUUUCUUUCUUUUUCUUAUCUCGUGCUUCUUACUGAAGUUUAGGUGAAUACCCAGUUGCUUGUUUUGGAUUCUCGAUUGUUAUUCAGCUUCCUUUGCAGUAGAAUCAGUAAGUAGAGGUAUUUCUUUGGUGUAUUUGUAAACUUGCAAUGUAAGCCUAUUGUGGGAAUUUGAUUGGGCUUUCGAUUGUGUUGGGUUCAUUUGGUUGAUAAUAUCGGUGUGUAUAUGCCAGUGUUUUGCAAUUCAAUUCUGCUUUCAAGGGGGAAAGAUAGUAUCUUGAAGUGCUUUUGAGCUAUAUAUUAUGCUGGUUGCUGUAUUAAGUCUGUCUGAUUUUUGUUAAUAACUAUAUUGACAGUGCUAGUUAGGGUGUUUCAUGUACUUUAUGUGGUUUAGCUUCUUGAAAGUAUGUUUUUGGAGUUUCAAUUUCAUUCAUAUUUUGCAUUCAUUCUGCUUUUAAUGGGAAGAUAGUAUCUUAACAUUCUUUUGAGCUUCAUAUUAUGUUGGUUGCAGUACAAGGUUAGCACGGUUAAUAAUAUCAGCCCAGGUACCGUGCUCGGAAAAAUAAUAUAUAUAUAUGUGUGUGUGUGUGUAUUAAGUUAGUUUAAUUCUUGGAAGUAUGUUUUUGGAGUUGCAAUUUUGUUUUUCACUUUGAAGUAUGAAGUUAUAUCCUUUUUAUUGAACUCAGAUCUUGGGAGGGAUGAGAGGACUAAAUUUGUUGUCCUUGGCAAUAUUUUUGGUUCUUACAACCCUUCAAGAGGCAUGGUCACAUGGGGAUCAGCCUCUAUCAAAAAUUGCGAUUCAUAAGGCAACAGUUGAUCUUAAUCGUGAUGCUUAUAUUAAAGCUUCUCCUACAGUCCUACAGUCCUCGGAUUGGGUGACAUUGGAGUAUAGUUCUCCAAAGCCAUCAGCUGAUGAUUGGAUAGGAGUAUUUUCUCCUGCCAAUUUCAAUGCUUCCACCUGCCCUGAAGUAAACCCUAGAGUUUAUCCUCCACUACUAUGUUCUGCACCUAUCAAGUAUCAGUUUGCAAACUACUCCAGUCCUGAGUACAAAGACACUGGUAAAGGAUAUUUGAAGCUUCAGCUGAUUAAUCAGAGAUUAGAUUUCUCAUUUGCACUAUUUUCUGGUGGCUUAUCAAAUCCUAAGCUAGUGGCAGUUUCAAAUCAAGUACCUUUUGCAAAUCCAAAUGCACCAGUUUACCCACGCUUAGCUCAAGGGAAACAAUGGAAUGAAAUGACUGUGACAUGGACAAGUGGAUAUGGGAUCAAUGAAGCAGGAGCUUUUGUUGAGUGGGGUCCAAAAGGAGGUGACCAAGUGCAUUCUCCAGCUGGGACACUGACUUUCGAUCGUAACAGCAUGUGUGAUGCACCGGCAAGGACAGUGGGAUGGCAGGAUCCUGGAUUUAUACAUAUGAGUUUUCUGAAUGAGUUGUGGCCCAAUGCAGUAUAUACUUACAAGCUGGGGCAUAAAUUGUUCAAUGGUACAUAUGUUUGGAGUCAACAAUUAUCAGUUUAGUGCAUCUCCUUAUCCUGGUCAAAAUUCUCUACAACGUGUAGUUAUUUUUGGUGACAUGGGGAAGGAUGAAGUUGAUGGUUCCAACGAAUAUAACAAUUUCCAGCGUGGCUCUCUUAACGCUACUCGAGAGCCUAUUAGAGACUUAAAGAACAUUGAUAUAGUUUUCCACAUUGGAGAUAUUUGUUAUGCAAAUGGAUACAUUUCACAGUGGGACCAAUUUACUGCACAGGUUGAGCCAAUUGCAUCAACAGUGCCAUACAUGAUUGCAAGUGGUAACCAUGAGUGUGACUGGCCAGGGACUGGAUCAUUCUAUGGGAAUAUGGACUCUGGGGGGCGGAAUGUGGCGUGUUGGCGAAGACUAUGUUUUAUGUCCCUGCUGAGAACAGAGCCAAAUUCUGGUACUCCACCGAUUAUGGCAUGUUCCACUUCUGCAUAGCUGACACUGAACAUGACUGGAGGGAAGGAACUGAGCAGUACAAGUUCAUUGAGCAUUGCUUGGCAUUAGUUGAUAGGCAAAAGCAACCAUGGCUAAUUUUUCUUGCACAUCGAGUACUUGGUUAUUCAUCUGGUAUCAGUUAUGCAGUUGAAGGAUCAUUUGAGGAACCAAUGGGGAGGGAGAGCCUGCAAAAGCUCUGGCAGAAAUACAAGGUGGACAUUGCUGUGUAUGGCCAUGUGCACAAUUAUGAAAGGACAUGUCCCAUAUACCAGAAUAUUUGCACCAAUGAAGAGAAGCACUACUAUAAGGGCACCUUGAAUGGAACAAUACAUGUGGUUGCUGGUGGUGCAGGAGCAAGCCUUUCACCUUUUACAACCCUCCAAACCAAAUGGAGUUUCUUUAGAGACUAUGACUAUGGAUUCAUAAAACUUACAGCAUUUGACCAUUCAAACCUGUUGUUUGAGUACAAGAAGAGCAGGGAUGGAAAGGUUUACGACUCUUUCAGAAUUUCCCGGGAUUACAGGGACAUCUUGGCUUGCAUUGUGGAUAGUUGCCCAAGCAUCACCUUAGCAUCUUGAAUGAUGAGGCUUCCUGUAGUGAAAUCACAUUAGUUAUGAUUGUAUUCUUUUUCUUUUCUUUUUGUUUUUUAAUUACAAUUGUGACUGUCUUACCACAAUAAAAUUGUGAAUAAGUAAUCUCUUCUUAAGCAAAAAAAAAAAAAAA